UAGUAAUCGCAGAUCAGAAUGCUGCGGUGAAUGCGUUCCCGGGUCUUGUACACACCGCCCGUCACACCACGGGAGUUGGAGACGCCCGAAGCCGAUUAUCUAACCUUUUGGAAGAAGUCGUCGAAGGGGGAAUCAAUAACUGGGGUGAAGUCGUAACAAGGUAGCCGUAUCGGAAGGUGCGGCUGGAUCACCUCCUUUCUAAG
RNAcentral lists this ribosomal RNA (203 nucleotides) under Clostridioides difficile. RNAcentral's name for it is "partial 16S ribosomal RNA". It matches the Rfam family "Bacterial small subunit ribosomal RNA", at positions 1336 to 1533 of the family's 1533-position model. The record is from RNAcentral. Lineage: Bacteria; Bacillati; Bacillota; Clostridia; Peptostreptococcales; Peptostreptococcaceae.